RNAcentral lists this long non-coding RNA (1695 nucleotides) under Chinchilla lanigera (long-tailed chinchilla). RNAcentral's name for it is "lncRNA (ENSCLAG00000027094.1)". The record is from RNAcentral. Lineage: Eukaryota; Metazoa; Chordata; Mammalia; Rodentia; Chinchillidae.
GUUCAACUUGUGAUGACAAUCCCAAUGUGAGGAUACAAAUGAAACCCCCUUUAGUCUGCCUAGAGCAAAACCUAUUAAUAUUACGUUUCUCCUCCCAUACUCUAUGAACCAGACCUUCUGUAAUCUCUGAUUCCACUUUUAUUUUUACCAUGUCUUCUUCUCCAUCUUGGUUCCAUUUGCUGAAAAGUCUUCAUUGUGUAGGGGUCAGGAAAGGGGUGCCAGGGGAGUGCUUGUUUAGAAGUGAUUGCCUAGCAACUCACUCCCUUCCUUAUUCCUAGGACAGAGGCUAUUUGCAUUUUGGGAAUGAAGAGGAAGAAAAAAGUCUCACUUCUCAUGAGCCCUGGGGUGAAAAUGUCUUGCUGACUACUCCUCAAAGGGACCUUCCUUCCUCUGAGAACUGCCCCUGGGUGGUCAGCAGGCACCCGCUUCUGGGAGAGCCCUUUCCAAGGUGCUCCUGGAGCUGUCUGGGGCAGUGAGUGCCGCUGGGCACUGCCAAACUGCAGCCCCAGGCAGCACCAGGACAGGGCUCAGAACAUCCUGAUCUUAUUCAAGUGGGCACUGCUUUCCCACACUGUUCUUUCCUUUUGCAGCUUUCUUCCCUGGAUAUGGGCCACAAAUAGGGGCUGUCUAGGCCUGCUGCCCUUAACUCCCAAGCUGCCAGCAAGUUCCUUGCACCACGGAGGGAGAGCAGAAGCCAGCAGGGACAAUGGAAGAGCAGCAGAGAGAAACCUACUCUGGAUGUUCUUAGUUGACCUCAGGAGCAGGAGGACUUAAGGACCCAUGGAUGUUCCAGAGCUGAAUGAGCCACCAAGAAAGACCGUUCUGGCCAAAUGUGACCUUGAGUGAAUGUUCCCUCUGUGGCUAAGUUGGAUUUGGCUGACAGCUGGAAGAAUAAUGAAGCAGUCAUCUGGUAAGAGGUUGAAUCAAACAUUCUCUAAGUUUCCUUGUUCUGCUUACCAUUACUCAAUUUUUCUCUUAACUACUGCCACUUAAUUACUCACAGUCAGUUGUGCUUCAAAGCCAUGAACAAUUUGGGUAUUUUCUUCUCUGGGACAUGGGGAAACAGUUGGGCAUAGUCUUUAAACUACUUAAAUACCUAUGUCAUAAAUACAAUGAGACAUUCUGCUUCACACAGUUUAGAGUAGUCCAUGCACACACAAUCAAUGCCUUUGAAAAACUCCUGUGAAGCUUGGCAAGUUUGAAAGAAGCAAGGAGAACAUGGAAUGUGUGCUGCUUGGAGAGCACAAUUAGAACCAUAGUUGUUUUUGGAAGCAGAGUGUUCAUGCUUCUCUGUGCACAGAGCACCAAGAUCUGGUCACAUCCUGUCUGUUUAGGCUAAAAUAAAUUUAUAGAAAUGAGAAAAUGGUUGAAUCAAACAUUCUCUAGGUUUCCUUGCUCUGCUUACCAUUACUCAAUUUUUCUUAUUUCAAUUGUCAGGUUAAAGACGGUGGAAUCUUUGCAUGAUGAGGAUCUUGAGAUGUUAUCUAAAACAUAUACAAUCUUAAAAAUAGGAUCCCCUAACUAAAGAAAAUAAAAGUGCAUUGUAUCAGUAUGAAUUUGUCUCUAAGACUUCAAAUGCGUAGCAUUUACGUAGUAUAAAGACUAAACCACCAAAACACAUCAAAGUUUUGUUACUGGCCAAUGUUAUGGCUUAUGUCUAGAUGCUCCCCCUGCCAAAGCUUCAUGUGAUCACAG